This 500-nucleotide ribosomal RNA is filed under the name uncultured bacterium. RNAcentral's name for it is "partial 16S ribosomal RNA". It matches the Rfam family "Bacterial small subunit ribosomal RNA", at positions 30 to 523 of the family's 1533-position model. The record is from RNAcentral.
AUUGAACGCUGGCGGAAUGCUUUACACAUGCAAGUCGAACGGCAGCACGGACUUCGGUCUGGUGGCGAGUGGCGAACGGGUGAGUAAUGUAUCGGAACGUGCCCAGUCGUGGGGGAUAACGUAGUGAAAAUUACGCUAAUACCGCAUACGAUCUAUGGAUGAAAGCGGGGGAUCGCAAGACCUCGCGCGAUUGGAGCGGCCGAUAUCAGAUUAGGUAGCUGGUGGGGUAAAGGCCCACCAAGCCAACGAUCUGUAGCUGGUCUGUGUGGACGAACAGCCACAGUGGAACUGAGACACGGUCCAGACUCCUACGGGAGGCAGCAGUGGGGAAUUUUGGACAAUGGGCGAAAGCCUGAUCCAGCCAUUCCGCGUGCAGGAUGAAGGCCCUCGGGUUGUAAACUGCUUUUGUACAGAACGAAAAGGUUUCUACUAAUACUAGGAGCUCAUGACGGUACUGUAAGAAUAAGCACCGGCUAACUACGUGCCAGCCGCCGCCGUAA